This 125-nucleotide small RNA is filed under the name Marmota monax (woodchuck). Lineage: Eukaryota; Metazoa; Chordata; Mammalia; Rodentia; Sciuridae. The record is from RNAcentral.
GCUGGGCGCAGUGGCCCACACCUGUAAUCCCAGCAGCUCAGGAGGCCGAGGCAGGAGGAUCGCGAGUUCAAAGCCAGCCUCAGCAAAAGCGAGGUGCUAAGCAACUCAGUGAGACCCUGUCUCUA